ACUAGGAGACGGCACCUAGACCAUCUUCAAUGAGAUGAAGUGGUCUGGGUGACUAUUGUAACCCUUUAAAAAUCACAUGUACAGGCAAUACUAACAGACUGCAUAUACAAAAUACAAUAAAAACUACACACACAGAAAACUGCACUGAAAAAGUAACAGUAAUGAAAGUAACAAUAAAGAAAAAAAUAUAUAUGUAGCCACAAAGGGAGAAAACAGUUAGUUUUUUUCAAAGAUGUCUUCAGUAGCACAGAGCUUGCUGGACAUUGCUGGGGGAAAUAAGGCACUGUGUGCAGUGGAUAUAGUGGGAGGUCUCUCAUAGCUUGUGGAUAUUUUGGUGUAAAAUAGAGUCAUUGCAUGUGGUGGAUGGAGUGUGAGGUCUCUCGGAGGUUUCUGGAUGUUUUGGGGUAAAUUGGAGGCAUUGCUUGCGGUGGAUGGAGUGUGAGGCCUCUAGAUGGGAUAGUGCAGGCCAUGAUGCAAUUCCCUGCAACAAGUGCCUCAAAUGACAUUAUGUUCAAAGAGUGAAGCAAUAUAUCCAGGACUGUCUAACCUACAGUAUUAAUCUAGUCAUGGUAGAGAACAGACAGUUUGCUCAGUCUAGCUAUUUAUUAUCUCAAUAUCUGUUAUUCCAGGUAAUUGCAUUGAUUUAUUAUUUGAUGGCUGGGGCAAAUGGGAAGGAUUACAGCUUUAGCACAUAUAUCAAGUGUAUUUAUCUGUCGGUGUGACUGUCUGUCUCUAUUUAUCAUUCUAUAUGUCUGCCUCUUUCUCUAUCAUUCUCUCUGCCUCUCUAGCUAUCGUUCUAUCUAUCGUUCCAUUUGUCUGUCUCUAUAUCUAUCGUUCUGUCUGUCUGUCUGUCUAUCUAUCUAUCUAAUCAUUCUGUCUGUCUGCCUCUCUAUCUAUCAUUCUGUCUGUCUGCCUCUCUAUCUAUCAAUCAUUCUGUCUGUCUGCCUCUCUAUCUAUCGUUCUGUCUGUCUGCCUCUCUAUCUAUCUAUCUAUCGUUCUGUCUGCCUAUCUAUCAUUCUGUCUGCCUAUCUAUCAUUCUGUCUGUCUGCCUCUAUCUAUCUAUCGUUCUGUCUGUCUGCCUCUCUAUCUUUUGUUCUGUCUGUCUGCCUCUCUAUCGUUCUGUCUGUCUGCCUCUCUAUCGUUCUGUCUGCCUCUCUAUCAUUCUGUCUGUCUGCCUCUCUAUCUAUCAUUCUGUCUGUCUGCCUCUCUAUCUAUCUAUUGCUCUGUCUGUCUGCCUCUCUAUCUAUCGUUCUGUCUGUCUGCCUGCCUCUCUCUAUCAUUCUAUCUGUCUACCUCUCUUUAUCGUUCCAUCUGUCUGUCUUCUUCACCCUCUUUGCUCUGUCUGCCUCUCUGUCUUCUGAUCUGUUAUUUCAUGUCAUUGUUUUUACUGAAAGUUAUAUAUAUUUUGUUUCUGCAACUCACAUGGUUAAUUUUCUCUUUCUAAGUGCAGUACAUUCUGCCAGUUUCUUUCUACAUUUAGAUUUUGAAUCAGCCCAAGCACUGAAAUAAUUAAAUAUGGAUUUACCGAACACAUGGGACUGUACUUUCCAGGAUAAAUAUUUCCACGAGUAUUUACGUUUGACAUUUGUACAACAUCUUGGCUCGAGGCUUACAAAUUGAGAGAUCCAAGCUCUCCCAGGCUUUAUAAAUAUGUGUAGUGGGUAAUGAUGUGUUUGUUUAUUUUUUAAAGUUCCAGAGUGUAAUGUAGCCUCGUACUUUGGAUACAGAAAGCAUCCAAAAAAAAGCAAAAGAUGCUUUCUGUAUAUGCAUGAACGGAGACUGGAUUUAGGGCAACCCUAAAAAUUUAGGUAUUGUGGAAUAAUUGUAAACACUGUGUAAUACAGCCACGAUGUGCAGGCAACAUCUUAGGUCCAUGGUCUAAGGCAGGGGUCCUCAAACUCUGGCCCCCCAGAAGUUGCUGAACUACAACUCCCAUGUUUCUCUGGCUAUCUAUGUAAUUCAAAGAAUUAUGGGAGUUGUAGUUCAGCAACAUCUGGAAGGCCACAGUUUGAGCACCCCUGGUCUAAGGGAUAGUCCCCAUCAGCAGAUACUGCCUAUCCCAGUACGACCAAUAGGCAAAGGGAUAACUGUAUGUUGAGGGAUACUUGUACACCCAUGUGCUAUCUUUUCCUAGUUUAUAACCAAUUGCGAUAAGAUCUGUUAUUCUUGUGGUACAGGUCUAUUUGUGGCUUCUUCAGUUAUACAAUAGAGGGGGUGUUGAUGAUGCAUUCCUCAAUCUAUGUGGGGACAGAGCACCAUUGAAAUGUCUGUGUAGUUAGCAAUACAAUUCCCCCACCUCACCCCCCUAAGAAAUAGCCUCUCUUCACCUAGGCCGGUCCCUUCACGGGGUUGGGCCUUUAAUUGUAUCCAAGCAUUGCCUCCUCCUGCCCCUUGUGUGGGUUUGCAUUGAUCCAGAUGCUAUAAUCUAAAGCUAUGCAUAAUGAAAAAAUAGCAUUAAAAAACAUAUUGCCUGGGCUUUUCUAUUUAUAGGGUCUUUUACUUGUGUGACAUGAUUAAUCUGUUACUCAAUUCAUUGACAAACUGGAUAUGCCAAAAAUGAGGUUUGCCAAUAGAGUAAAACAUGUACUGUGAGUCAAAAGUGAGAAGCAAUUCAGGAAUCACCAAAUCACCUCUGAAAAUCCCCCAUGAUGCAUAGUUUUAAAUAUUCAAGAUGGCAGCUUUCAUUGGGGAUGGGUAGCAUUGCAUAUGCUAUAGGCACAUCAGUUGAUCUAAUCUAACAAUGCAUGUGAUUCCUGACUUUUGAU
Molecule: long non-coding RNA, 2765 nt
Filed under: Pelobates cultripes (western spadefoot toad)
Lineage: Eukaryota; Metazoa; Chordata; Amphibia; Anura; Pelobatidae
Source: RNAcentral